This 342-nucleotide unclassified non-coding RNA is filed under the name uncultured fungus. RNAcentral's name for it is "sequence contains 5.8S rRNA gene". The stretch from base 1 to 53 matches the Rfam family "5.8S ribosomal RNA", at positions 102 to 154 of the family's 154-position model. Lineage: Eukaryota; Fungi. The record is from RNAcentral.
GAACGCAUAUUGCGCUCUUUGGUAUUCCGAAGAGCAUGCUUGUUUGAGUAUCAGUAAACACCUCAACCUCUCUUUUUUGAUAAAAAAAAGGGAGGGUGGACUUGAGCUAUCCCAACGACCUUCACCGGUAGGCGGGCGGCUUGAAAUGCAGGUGCAGCUGGACUUUUAUCUGAGCUAAAAGCAUAUCUAUUUAGUCCCGUCAAACGGAUUAUUACUUUUGCUGCAGCUAAUAUAAAGGGAGUUUGACCGUAUUGGCUGACUGAUGCAGGAUUUCACAAGGGUCGGCAACGAUUCUUGUAAAACUCGAUCUCAAAUCAAGUAAGACUACCCGCUGAACUUAAG